GUCUGGGACUUGAACCAGUCACCCAUGUGAGAGUUCAGCACCUUUAGCUACCGUGCCACCUGCUGGCCCUCAAGCUGCAUCUUUAACAAGUUCCCAGGGGACACCAUCAGUGAAUGCACACGUCCUAUGGCAAAAAUAACAACUAAAAGAAGCCAAGAGCCUGCUGGCUGUACAGUGAGGAGUGGGAGGUGGUCCUCAGCAUCGAAGCUGGGUAGGACGCCGCAGGGCACGGAGGGACCCGGAGCUGGGCAUCCUGUCUGGCGCUGAAAAUCGCCAUGGGGAAGGGUGUUUGGACACUCCUGACUGGAUUUCCCAGGGAGCCAAAAGGCUUGUCCCCUGUGUCUGAAGCUAUGGCCACCUUGGCACCCCUCAGUCUUCAGGAAGGGUGGCAGAUGGUCAGCCUGUGGAGUGACUCUGUAGGAGGCUGGAAGGGGGCAGCCACGUCACUGGCUCUGUCCCCCAGCCCAGCAGCUGCUGCCUUCCAGCGUGGGUUUGCCUGUCCCCUAACUGAGCCAACACAUACAAGGACUUGGGCAGGGCAGACCCUGGCCUCUGAGUGCCACCAGCGUCUGCACCAUGCCAUUCUUGCUGAUUAAGGGGUGCCUCCAGCUUCAGCCACGUGUACCUCCUCAACCUUACAACCGUAGCACACUCUGCCUCCUCUGGGAGUUUUCCUGAUGCCCACACUCCCCCUCCACCUCCGCCUGUCCCUCAGGUCUCAGCUGCCAUGGCACCAGCUCAGAGGCCCUCCAGGCACCCAGCUGCAGAGGCCCCCACGUCGUGUCUCCUAGCCUUCAUUUUCUACCUUAAUUAGUCUCCUGCUUCCAUCUUCGCAAUCCCAAACCACUUCCAUGCCUCUCUCUGUUUUUCAUUUUUAUUUUUGGAACAUUAAAAUAAAUAAGCAAACUGUUUUGGACACACUUUUGGAUUUACAAAACUCUUAGAAAAACAGUACAGAGAGUUCCCGAAAACGCUUCGUCCAGUUUCCCCUAACGUCAAUGCAAACCCCUCGCACAACCACGGUGUGUUUCAGGAAAUAAACACCGAACAGUCCAGGCGUGUGUGCAGAUCACCAGCUCUCCCACCCAUGGCCUUUGCUGCUCCGGAAGUCCGUCCGGGAUCUCACUCUGCUCCCAGUCCCUGCGUCUCCUUGGUCUCCUCCGGUCUGGGCACAUUUUCAGCAUUUCUUGGCCUUUCAUGACCUUGACACUGAUGAGGAGGGCUGAGCAGGUAUUUUGUCGAACGUCCCCAACCUGGUCUGGCCGCUAUUUUCUCAUGAGUACUCCGAGGUUAUAGGGCCUGGAGGAGACCCCACGGAGGUGUCACUCCCUGCUCAUCACACUGUAUCUGGGGGUCCACCACGACGCCUCCCCUGGCCAGCGCAGUCUGCCAGCUUUGUUCGCUGCCUCGUCACUGUUCUCACUUCCUGUGCCCUGCUCAUAGAUGAGUCACCCUCCACAGCGCUUGUCAUCAAUGACCUAUGAUAGAGUCUGC
Long non-coding RNA from Tupaia belangeri chinensis (Chinese tree shrew), 1494 nucleotides. RefSeq lists it as uncharacterized. The record is from RefSeq and is a predicted model, not a curated record. The transcript is spliced from 3 exons. Lineage: Eukaryota; Metazoa; Chordata; Mammalia; Scandentia; Tupaiidae.